UACUUAGGGUGCAAGCGUUAAUCGGAAUUACUGGGCGUAAAGCGUGCGCAGGCGGUUUUGUAAGGCUGUCGUGAAAGCCCCGGGCUCAACCUGGGAAUUGCGAUGGAGACUGCAAGGCUUGAAUCUGGCAGAGGGGGGUAGAAUUCCACGUGUAGCAGUGAAAUGCGUAGAGAUGUGGAGGAACACCGAUGGCGAAGGCAGCCCCCUGGGUCAAGAUUGACGCUCAUGCACGAAAGCGUGGGGAGCAAACAGG
This 253-nucleotide ribosomal RNA is filed under the name uncultured bacterium. RNAcentral's name for it is "partial 16S ribosomal RNA". It matches the Rfam family "Bacterial small subunit ribosomal RNA", at positions 524 to 776 of the family's 1533-position model. The record is from RNAcentral.